UACAGAGGGGGCAAGCGUUGUUCGGAAUUACUGGGCGUAAAGGGCGCGUAGGCGGCCUUCUAAGUCGAACGUGAAAUCCCCGGGCUCAACCCGGGAACUGCGUCCGAUACUGGAAGGCUUGAAUCCGGGAGAGGGAUGCGGAAUUCCAGGUGUAGCGGUGAAAUGCGUAGAUAUCUGGAGGAACACCGGUGGCGAAGGCGACAUCCUGGACCGGUAUUGACGCUGAGACGCGAAAGCGUGGGGAGCAAACAGG
This 253-nucleotide ribosomal RNA is filed under the name uncultured bacterium. RNAcentral's name for it is "partial 16S ribosomal RNA". It matches the Rfam family "Bacterial small subunit ribosomal RNA", at positions 524 to 776 of the family's 1533-position model. The record is from RNAcentral.